Long non-coding RNA from Drosophila nasuta, 772 nucleotides. RefSeq lists it as uncharacterized. The transcript has 3 exons. The record is from RefSeq and is a predicted model, not a curated record. Lineage: Eukaryota; Metazoa; Arthropoda; Insecta; Diptera; Drosophilidae.
UUUUUUUCAGCUUUCUGCUUCAUCUUCUUCUGCAGCAGCAGCAGCAGCAGCAGUCGGAGUAACGACAAUCGCAGUCGCAGUCGCAGCUUCAACAUCUUCAGCUUCCCCACUGACGUUGAGAGUCAAGAGUCGAGAGCUGAGAUUGAAGAGUGAAGAGUGGAGUCGACGGGGUCGGGGCCACGCCAUUGAAACGAGUUUCCUUGGACAACGACUGAGGCUGGGAAUAGGUGGAGUAGGAGUUGUACAGCUGGAGUGCUGGACAUUUAGCUCAGCUCAGCUCAAGCUGAGGGGCCCAGCAAUUAAAUGUGAAAACAGUUGCGUUGCCCACAGUCGCCCCAUCGAUGCAUGUUGCUUGCUGCUCUCGCUCGUAACUGAAAUAAGUUUUCAAUGAAUAUAAUUAUGCAAAGCAGAACGAGCAGAAGGACGCGUCACACAGUUUGCCAGGACACUUGGUCGCCCCCUCGAUGGGUGGCCAAAAAAAAACGCAUUAAAAUUACCAGAAAGAUGGCCGACAAAAAAUCAUUUGCUGUCAAUUGUCCUUCAGCUGGAAAAAGUCUUGACGGCGGCCUGCGCGAAGUUUUUAAUUUUUAUCAAAGAUUUUUCGGCUCAGUUUUUUAAUGAAAUUUCUGGCAUUGGUCUGCCAAAGGAUUUGGCUGCUUGUCGUGCAUAAUUUGCAUAAAUUGUUUUGAGCAGGAGCUGAAGGAGCAGCAAUUUUUAAUUUGUGAUUUUCUAGUGAGUGUCCUUAAGGAAGUUUUUCGUCGGCAACUUUUUC